Molecule: ribosomal RNA, 487 nt
Filed under: uncultured soil bacterium
Lineage: Bacteria
Description: bacterial SSU rRNA
Rfam family: Bacterial small subunit ribosomal RNA
Source: RNAcentral
AGAGUUUGAUCCUGGCUCAGAUUGAACGCUGGCGGCAUGCUUUACACAUGCAAGUCGAACGCGAAAGGGGGCAACCCCGAGUAGAGUGGCGAACGGGUGAGUAAUGCAUCGGAACGUGUCCUGUUGUGGGGGACAACCCCGAGAAAUCGGGGCUAAUACCGCAUACGUCCUAUGGGAGAAAGUGGGGGACCGCAAGGCCUCACGCUAUAGGGGCGGCCGAUGCCGGAUUAGCUAGUUGGUGGGGUAAAGGCUCACCAAGGCGACGAUCCCUAGCUGGUCUGAGAGGAUGAUCAGCCACACUGGGACUGAGACACGGCCCAGACUCCUACGGGAGGCAGCAGUGGGGAAUUUUGGACAAUGGGCGCAAGCCUGAUCCAGCCAUGCCGCGUGAGUGAAGAAGGCCUUCGGGUUGUAAAGCUCUUUCGGCCGGGACGAAAUCGCUCCCUUUAACAUGGGGAGUGGAUGACGUACCGAAGAAGAGCCCCCA